Molecule: ribosomal RNA, 301 nt
Filed under: uncultured bacterium
Lineage: Bacteria
Description: partial 16S ribosomal RNA
Rfam family: Bacterial small subunit ribosomal RNA
Source: RNAcentral
CAGCAGCCGCGGGAACACGUAGGUGGCAAGCGUUGUCCGGAAUUAUUGGGCGUAAAGGGCUCGCAGGCGGUUUCUUAAGUCUGAUGUGAAAGCCCCCGGCUCAACCGGGGAGGGUCAUUGGAAACUGGGAAACUUGAGUGCAGAAGAGGAGAGUGGAAUUCCACGUGUAGCGGUGAAAUGCGUAGAGAUGUGGAGGAACACCAGUGGCGAAGGCGACUCCCUGGUCUGUAACUGACGCUGAGGAGCGAAAGCGUGGGGAGCGGGCAGGAUUAGAUACCCCGGUAGUCCCUGUCUCUUAUAC